AUUGAACGCUGGCGGAAUGCUUUACACAUGCAAGUCGAGCGGCAGCGCGGCCUUCGGGCUGGCGGCGAGCGGCGAACGGGUGAGUAAUGCAUCGGAACAUGCCCAGUCGUGGGGGAUAACACUUCGAAAGAAGUGCUAAUACCGCAUACGUCCUGAGGGGGAAAGCGGGGGAUCGCAAGACCUCGCGCGAUUGGAGUGGCCGAUGUCAGAUUAGCUAGUUGGUGGGGUAAAGGCCUACCAAGGCGACGAUCUGUAGCUGGUCUGAGAGGAUGAUCAGCCAAACUGGGACUGAGACACGGCCCAGACUCCUAAGGGAGGCAGCAGUGGGGAAUUUUGGACAAUGGGGGCAACCCUGAUCCAGCCAUUCCGCGUGAGUGAAGAAGGCCUUCGGGUUGUAAAGCUCUUUCGGCAGGAACGAAACGGUGGGCUCUAACAUAGUCCGCUAAUGACGGUACCUGAAGAAGAAGCACCGGCUAACUACGUG
RNAcentral lists this ribosomal RNA (484 nucleotides) under uncultured bacterium. RNAcentral's name for it is "partial 16S ribosomal RNA". It matches the Rfam family "Bacterial small subunit ribosomal RNA", at positions 29 to 507 of the family's 1533-position model. The record is from RNAcentral.